AGAAUGUAAAGGCAAACCAUUGCAAACAAUGGGACGCAAAGCCAGGAACCUAAAGUGUGUUAUAAAAAAAUAUACCAAGAUCGUCCGACUGCCAUA
This is a regulatory RNA element of Alkaliphilus metalliredigens QYMF, 96 nucleotides long. It matches the Rfam family "c-di-GMP-I riboswitch aptamer". Rfam says of the family: GEMM was predicted in a large-scale screen for bacterial structured RNA regulatory elements. Genes associated with GEMM are involved in a diverse array of functions, including chemotaxis regulation, signal transduction, secretion and chitin. The record is from Rfam. Lineage: Bacteria; Bacillati; Bacillota; Clostridia; Peptostreptococcales; Natronincolaceae.